AAAGCUUGCUUUGAUGGAUGGCGACCGGCGCACGGGUGAGUAACACGUAUCCUCGUUUACGACAACACUGGGAUAGCCUUUCGAAAGAAAGAUUCCUUCCGGAUGGCAUAAUUAUUCCGCAUGGGAUGAUUAUUAAAGAAUUUCGGUUGUCGAUGGGGAUGCGUUCCAUUAGGCAGUUGGCGGGGUAACGGCCCACCAAACCAACGAUGGAUAGGGGUUCUGAGAGGAAGGUCCCCCACAUUGGAACUGAGACACGGUCCAAACUCCUACGGGAGGCAGCAGUGAGGAAUAUUGGUCAAUGGACGAGAGUCUGAACCAGCCAAGUAGCGUGAAGGAUGACUGCCCUAUGGGUUGUAAACUUCUUUUAUACGGGAAUAAAGUUAGCCACGUGUGGUUUUUCGUAUGUACCGUAUGAAUAAGGAUCGGCUAACUCCGUGCCAGCAGCCGCGGUAAUACGGAGGAUCCGAGCGUUAUCCGGAUUUAUUGGGUUUAAAGGGAGCGUAGGCGGGUUGUUAAGUCAGUUGUGAAAGUUUGCGGCUCAACCGUAAAAUUGCAGUUGAUACUGGCGACCUUGAGUGCAACAGAGGUAGGCGGAAUUCGUGGUGUAGCGGUGAAAUGCUUAGAUAUCACGAAGAACUCCGAUUG
This 645-nucleotide ribosomal RNA is filed under the name uncultured Bacteroides sp. RNAcentral describes it as "bacterial SSU rRNA". It matches the Rfam family "Bacterial small subunit ribosomal RNA", at positions 75 to 715 of the family's 1533-position model. Lineage: Bacteria; Pseudomonadati; Bacteroidota; Bacteroidia; Bacteroidales; Bacteroidaceae. The record is from RNAcentral.